Molecule: ribosomal RNA, 484 nt
Filed under: uncultured bacterium
Lineage: Bacteria
Description: partial 16S ribosomal RNA
Rfam family: Bacterial small subunit ribosomal RNA
Source: RNAcentral
AUUGAACGCUGGCGGCAGGCCUAACACAUGCAAGUCGAGCGGAUGAAGGGAGCUUGCUCCUGGAUUCAGCGGCGGACGGGUGAGUAAUGCCUAGGAAUCUGCCUGGUAGUGGGGGAUAACGUCCGGAAACGGGCGCUAAUACCGCAUACGUCCUGCGGGAGAAAGUGGGGGAUCUUCGGACCUCACGCUAUCAGCUGAGCCUAGGUCGGAUUAGCUAGUUGGUGGGGUAAAGGCCUACCAAGGCGACGAUCCGUAACUGGUCUGAGAGGAUGAUCAGUCACACUGGAACUGAGACACGGUCCAGACUCCUACGGGAGGCAGCAGUGGGGAAUAUUGGACAAUGGGCGAAAGCCUGAUCCAGCCAUGCCGCGUGUGUGAAGAAGGUCUUCGGAUUGUAAAGCACUUUAAGUUGGGAGGAAGGGCAGUAAGUUAAUACCUUGCUGUUUUGACGUUACCAACAGAAUAAGCACCGGCUAACUUCGUG